CUCAGAAACUUAAAGGAAUUGACGGACCCCGCACAAGCGGUGGAUCAUGUUGUUUAAUUCGAUGAUACGCGAAGAACCUUACCAGGUCUUGACAUCCCCCGCGAUGCUUUAGAGAUAAAGCGGAGGUAUUCGGGGAGACAGGUGGUGCAUGGUUGUCGUCAGCUCGUGUCGUGAGAUGUGGGUUAAGUCCCGCAACGAGCGCAACCCCUAUUGCUAGUUACCAUCAUUAAGUUGGGGACUCUAGCGAGACUGCCAGUGAUAAACUGGAGGAAGGUGGGGAUGACGUCAAAUCAUCAUGCCCCUUAUGACCUGGGCUACAAACGUGAUACAAUGGCUGGAACAAAGGGAUGCGAAGCAGUGAUGUGGAGCGAAACCCAUAAAACAGUCUCAGUUCGGAUUGAAGUCUGCAACUCGACUUCAUGAAGUCGGAAUCGCUAGUAAUCGCGGAUCAGAACGCCGCGGUGAAUACGUUCUCGGGGUUU
RNAcentral lists this ribosomal RNA (482 nucleotides) under uncultured Acholeplasma sp. RNAcentral describes it as "bacterial SSU rRNA". It matches the Rfam family "Bacterial small subunit ribosomal RNA", at positions 892 to 1382 of the family's 1533-position model. The record is from RNAcentral. Lineage: Bacteria; Bacillati; Mycoplasmatota; Mollicutes; Acholeplasmatales; Acholeplasmataceae.